UUAAAUUGAAGAGUUUGAUCAUGGCUCAGAUUGAACGCUGGCGGCAGGCCUAACACAUGCAAGUCGAACGGUAACAGGAAGAAGCUUGCUUCUUUGCUGACGAGUGGCGGACGGGUGAGUAAUGUCUGGGAAACUGCCUGAUGGAGGGGGAUAACUACUGGAAACGGUAGCUAAUACCGCAUAACGUCGCAAGACCAAAGAGGGGGACCUUCGGGCCUCUUGCCAUCGGAUGUGCCCAGAUGGGAUUAGCUAGUAGGUGGGGUAACGGCU
This 270-nucleotide ribosomal RNA is filed under the name Escherichia coli. Its description in RNAcentral is "partial 16S ribosomal RNA". It matches the Rfam family "Bacterial small subunit ribosomal RNA", at positions 1 to 265 of the family's 1533-position model. Lineage: Bacteria; Pseudomonadati; Pseudomonadota; Gammaproteobacteria; Enterobacterales; Enterobacteriaceae. The record is from RNAcentral.